CUACGGGUGGCACCAGUGGGGAAUAUUGGACAAUGGGGGAAACCCUGAUCCAGCAAUGCCGCGUGUGUGAAGAAGGCCUGCGGGUUGUAAAGCACUUUCGGUUGGGAGGACUGCUUCUAGCACUAAUAUUGUUGGAAGUUGACGUUACCUUCAGAAGAAGCACCGGCUAACUCCGUGCCAGCAGCCGCGGUAAUACGGAGGUGCAAGCGUUAAUCGGAAUUACUGGGCGUAAAGCGCGCGUAGGCGGCUAGAUCAGUCGGGUGUGAAAGCCCCGGGCUUAACCUGGGAACUGCAUCCGAUACUGUCUAGCUUGAGUACAGGAGAGGAGAGUGGAAUUCCACAUGUAGCGGUGAAAUGCGUAGAUAUGUGGAGGAACACCAAUGGCGAAGGCAGCUCUCUGGCCUGAUACUGACGCUGAGGUGCGAAAGCGUGGGGAGCAAGCAGGAUUAGAUACCCCGGUAGUC
RNAcentral lists this ribosomal RNA (464 nucleotides) under uncultured bacterium. RNAcentral's name for it is "partial 16S ribosomal RNA". It matches the Rfam family "Bacterial small subunit ribosomal RNA", at positions 339 to 795 of the family's 1533-position model. The record is from RNAcentral.